This is a long non-coding RNA of Onychostoma macrolepis, 6039 nucleotides long. RefSeq lists it as uncharacterized. Lineage: Eukaryota; Metazoa; Chordata; Actinopteri; Cypriniformes; Cyprinidae. The transcript has 4 exons. The record is from RefSeq and is a predicted model, not a curated record.
UUUUUUUUUUUUCUUGGCUCUCCCCCUCUCUUCUUCACAGGUGGCGACUCCUCCCCAGCCAUGGAGGAAUUAUUAAAGCACCUCACUGAGGUGAGCAUUAGGCAGCAGCAAAUAGUCGAACACAUGGCCGCCCGACAAGGAGAGAUCACUGUGCUCCGCACCGCCGCCGCCCAGCGGGUUCCGCUGCCAGACCCCCGCAUUCGAGCCACAAUGCUUUUGCCGAAGAUGACGGUGCACGACGAUGUGGAGAGCUAUCUUCAAAUGUUCGAAUCUACGGCGAACCAGGAGGGCUGGCCUCAGGAAGAAUGGGCGCGUGUGCUGGCACCGUUACUAACGGGGGAACCACAACGGGCUUAUUUCUCAAUGCCAGCGGAUCUGAGGGAUUCCUACGAGGAGCUGCGGAAAGAGAUCCUGUCCCGCGUGGGCCUAUCAUCUAUCGCAGCAGCACAAUUGUUUCACGACUGGGAAUAUAACAGCCGGUUGCCAGCCCGCACCCAAGCCGCCGACCUAUCCCGUUUCUCGCGGCACUGGCUGCUUGCCGGAGAUCCCAGCGCCGCCCAAGUGGCCGAACGUGUCGUCGUGGACCGUCUUCUCCGUGCCCUUCCUCGUCCGAUUCGGCAAGCGGCCGGCAUGCGGAACCCGCUCACCGUGGGAGAUCUCGUGGAGGCCAUCGAGCUGGCGGAGGCGGCUCAACGUCGCGAGGCUGGGGAGCGAGCGCCGCCGUUUCCCCGAAGGGUGCACCAGGAGUGACGCUCGCCGGAGGGCAUCUCGCGACCAGUGAACAGGCCGGCGGUUCCCGGCCCCCAGGAUGAGCCGAUGCCCACGGAUCCUCCUCGUUCACCCCAACAGGCCUGGCUGGCAGGUUGCAUCGUCCACCGUGAUCCCCCGCUGGAAGCACCACGAGUCGAGGUGAAGGUGAAUGGAGGACCCUACCAAGCUCUCCUUGACUCGGGCAGCGCGGUCAGCCUGGUCCAGCCGACAGUCUUUCCCCCGCAGGUGGAGUCAAGAGCCUGCCUACCCAUCACGUGUGGUCCCUGCUCGGCACGUCACCAUUUAGGCUGCCCCAGGCUCCUGGCCCGUCGAGGUGGGGAUCAUGAAGGAUUUGCCCAUCCCCGUGCUCCUCGGAAGAAACUGGCCGGGUUUUGAUCGCCUGCUCGCCACCGCCACCCAACCUGCCAGCGCUGUUGGGAACCGCCGAAGACGAAGGUUCAACCGAGGUUUCCGGACGACGUCAACCCCGCGGCCUACUCGACAUCGCGAAAGAAGCCUGGGAACAACAGCCGGCCGCCCAUCGGUCCACCAUCGAACACAUCCGUGAGAUGAGGGAGCGGAUCGACAGGGUCAUGCCAAUCGUCCGGGAACACCUACGAAGGCCCAGCAGCGCCACUACAACCGGGCAGCCCAGCCACGGGAGUUUCAGCCAGGAGAUCACGUCAUGGUCCUAGUUCCGACGGCCGCCUGCAAAUUCCUAGCAAAGUGGCAAGGGCCCUACACGGUGACCGAGCGGGUGGGGCCUGUGACCUACCGAGUGCGGCAGCCCGGAAGGAGAAAAGAGGAUCAACUAUACCAUAUCAACCUCCUGAAGACUGCCUUCUCCACCCCCAGCGGCCACUGGCAUUAUCGGGUUCUCCCCUUCGGCCUGCACGGGGCCCCAGCCACUUUCCAGCGGAUGAUAGACAUCCUGCUGAGGCCCCACCAGUCCUAUGCGGCGGCCUACCUGGAUGAUGUCGUCGUCCACUCGGAGAGCUGGGAGGAUCACCUGGAGCGGUUGCCGAGGGUGCUUGUUGAGCUGCGCAGGGCUGGACUGACCGCCAAUCCCCGGAAAUGUCACCUGGCCCUCUACGAAGCGAAGUACCUGGGCUUCCAGGUGGGCCGGGGCAAACCGCAAGAGAAGAAGGUGGCAGCAAUCCUCUCGGCCCCACGGCCCACCUCAAAAACCCAGGUACGUGCCUUUUUGGGAUUGGCGGGUUACUAUCGCUGCUUUAUCCCUAACUUCUCCUCCUUAGCAGCUCCCCUGACAGACCUGACCAGGAAGGGGCAGCCGGAGAAGAUUCCCUGGGGUCCCACUGAAGACGAGGCUUUCCAGCGAGUGUAGGUGGCACUCACCUCGGAGCCGGUACUGCGAGCCCCAGACUUUAACUGCCCCUUCCUGUUGCAGACGGACGCCUCCAACACCGGGUUGGGAACCGUUCUCUCCCAGGUGCAGGACGGUGAGGAACACCUGGUGAUCUUCAUCAGCCGAAAGCUGACCCCAGCGGAACAACGGUACGCUGCCGUCGAGAAGGAAGUGUUUGCCGUCAAGUGGGCAGUCCUGGAGCUCAGGUAUUACCUCCUAGGCCAAAAAUUCACGCUCAUUACUGACCAUGCUCCAUUACAGUGGAUGGCCCGAGCCAAAGACACGAACACCAGGGUCACCCGCUGGUUCCUGGCGCUCCAGGACUUCCACUUCGUCGUGCGACAUCGGGCAGGGAUGGCCAACGCUAACGCCGAUGGACUCUCACGGAUCUGGGCAGCUUUCGCAGGUGGGAUAACACACAGAAAACUGCUGGAGCAUCAGAAACCAGAUAAGAAAAAAACAACAGGAGAGAAAUGGAGGCCAGAAAUGAGACACAAACCAGUGAAACACAAGAGAAAAACAGACGGACGCUUGUUAGAUGUGACAGUAUGGAGGGAAUAAAACCACACUUCUCUCGUGAUCCAGACGGACCUGUAAACUUUAAUUCUGGAGAAACUUCAGCAUGUUCUGAAGAACACACAACAUCCCUGAGACAGCAGCAGCUGAAGACAACACCAUCAUGAUCACAGACUCCAUCCAUCCACACUACAGUCUGCUCAGAUCUCAGGGAUGUGCUGACAUUUUGAGCGGCAGGGGCACAAGUGGGAAAAAAAAAACACUUCUCAUAUUUACUUUAAUUUUAAAGAACCUUUAACAUCUGAAAAGCCUUUUUGUUUCACAAAAGGUUCUUUGUGGUGAAAGAAGGUUCUUCAGAUUAUAAAAAGUAUCCCUGCUAGAAAUUUUACGUUCCCAGAACGUCCCCGCUGGCAUCAAGGACGUCACCUGGUAACUUUCCCAGAACGUUCUGAGAAGGUCAUGAUGUCGAGUUCUUUAAAGGGUUGUGGGACGUUAUUUGGGGGACCUUAGCAGAACUUUCAGGACGUUCUCGGGAUGUUUAGGGGACCAUAUUUUAUUUGUAAAUUUGAUGUUCCCAGAACAUUUCAAAAUAGUCACAAUGUCAAGUUCUUUUAAGGGUUGGGGCAGUGUUGGGUAAGCUACUUUCAUAAAGUAAUUAAUUACAGUUACUAAUUACAUCAUCAAUAUUGUUUUUAAAUUACUCUGUCUGAAAAGAAACUUAGUUGCUCAAUAAGUAACUUAAUUAUUCAAAUCGCUAAUUAGGCUACAUCUUAAAACCCCUAUAAACCUUAAUAGAAAUUAAACUGUUUAUUCUUUCAAUUUGAGUCUAACAUAGAAUAGUUUAGCCUUUUAGCUUUAACACAACUGUAAUACUUGAACAUUUUUAUAAAAAGAAUUAGCAUUCUUUGGUUAACAAAUAUAAAUUACUCAAUAACAAAUAAGCUUAAAUGUUAAACAAUACAUUUCAGUUUGGCAAGAUUUUCAGGAAAAGCCCAACUAGUAAAACCCAUACAGGUUUAUGUAAAAAUAACACGUUAACUAAUGUAGGUAAGAAUAAAUUACAGAAAUGAUCUUCUGUGCUGAAUAAAGCCAUGUCAGAUCGUGCUGUUCUUAUGAGGUAAAUUCCUCAUAGCCAGGGGCGUGGGAAGUGGGGGUGCUGAAGCACCCCCUGUUUUUUUCUGUGGGAAACUGUUUAAUUGUUGGGAAUAUAAAAAGUGCAAAUAGCCAUGUUGUUGGUAGAGGCUAACACUAACUCCACCCACAAACGCAUGAUUGGGAUAGUGAAAUUUGCAAAAGACAGUCAUCAAUUGUCUGAUUCAGUGGCGCAGAUGGUAAAGCGCGUGCUACUGUACUUUUGACACAAUCGACCGGGGUUCGAAUCUGCCCUUUGGCGAACCUUUUUUUCUCUCUUUUUAAAUUUCAAAUCACAUCACAUCAGAAGAGCAUUUAUUUUUUUAAUAAAAAUGAAGGAAAUAAUAAAAAAAUUGAACAAACCAUCGGGAAGGGUUACACCCAAGGUGUAGGGAGAGCUUUUGUCCCAAUAAGGUGGCAUCCAUUUAAUAAUUUGAAAUAAAAUUAAGAAAUUACACUCAAUAAGUUGCAUACUAUUUUAUAAUGUAUUACAAUGCAGAGGUGCAGAUAAUUGCCACUAUUUGCAAUAAGUAAUGUUUUUCUCUAAUAAUGUUUUUUUCGCCACAAUUAAUCAUACCCUUUUAUUCAAUAUUUACAAUAAGUAAUUAGCAGGAUCCUGCUAUUUUAACAGAAUCUAAAGCUAUUUGCACUGUGUAAAUAGCAUAUCACUAAAGAAUACCGCUAUUUUCACUUAGUGUAAAUAGCCUCUAUCGCGACACGCAACAACCCCCCACAGCACCCCCAACAUAAAACAUCUUCCCGCGCCCCUGCUCAUAGCAGGUCUUCUUUCAAAAAUGAUGAAAAUUAGAUGAAUCUUGAUUAUUAUUUUUAUCUAGGUGUGGGCGUUUGCGUUGGGUGAGUGACCAUACACACACACACACACACACACACAGCGUAUUUUUCAAUUAAAGACAGCUUAUGGAUUUAAUAUGGGCUGCUUUUGGUGCUUGUGUAACUGGUCUGUUCUCUUCCCUGUGUUGUGUUGUGGAUCAAUAAAGCUUGUGAUUCAAGAACUCUUCUCUCAGCCCAUUUAUUCACUGAGAAAACAGGAUAACACAGAAUAAUAACAGAUGGAAUUACGGAGCUACCAAACACACAACUUACCGCUGGCCUUUCACACAUGAACUGACUGAGAGACUGAUGCAACAGGGCAGUGAGUUCUGCGGAAUCGCCGCGAGUGUCGCGAGUCCAGGGCCGCGAGCUCCUCCGGUCUGCCGCCGUCCGCGGCUUUCUUCAGCCCGCCGUUCGCGGGGAAAUUGUCGCCGCCGUCCGCGGCUGUCUUGAGCCCGCCGUUCGCGGGAGAAUCGUCGCCGCCGGAUGCCGCUGACUCAAGCCCGCCGGAUGCCGCUGACUCAAGCCCGCCGGACGCCGCUGACUCCAGUCCAGACCCGGGUCCCAGUGGAGCAAGUCCACCUGUGACGGCCAGGAGUGCCGUCUUGUCGUGCCCACAGGAACAUUUUAACGAACCUUGUCAUGUCUUGUCCAUGGAGACUUGUCGUGGAAGUGGAGGCGGUUGCUGAGGGACCUUGUGAGGGCCCCUGACUCCCUGUCAUGCCCAGAAGAAGCCUCAGCUUCCGAGCUAGCCCAGGAGGGCUUCCUGUUCCUGUGGGCUGUCCUGUCUGUGUGUCUGGCCUGUCCUGUCCCUGUCUUGUCCCUGUCUGUUUAGCCCUGGAGGGCUAUCCGGUCCUGUCUGUGUGUCUGGCCAGUGUCGUGUCCUGUCUGUUAAGCCCUGGAGGGCUCCUGAUACCCCCUGGAUUCCCCAAGGAAAUUUUGGGGGGGGGGGUAGUAGAGCUCCGGGUGGAGUGGCCGGGCCGAGGGACCCGAGGCCACGGCCACGAAGACCAUCUUUGACCGCCUGUGCUCCCAGCCCUGCCUGGGCCUCCGUCUGUGUGUUACGCUCUGGAGGUCCCCGUCCUGUGUUCAUGUCUGUCCUGAGGGGCCUCCAGAGUGCCCCCCUCCCUGGUGGAACUGUUACGGCGCGGGUCGCGCCUUUCGGGAGUCAGGACUGUCAUGUCCUCUGUCGUGUGUCAUGUGUUCCCGCCUCUUGUGUCCAUAUUUGGUCUUGUUCCUGUCCUUGUUAAGUGUGAUUAUUAGUUAAGUCUUGUCCAGCUGUGUUUCGUCUUAUUAUCAGUAAUUGUCAUGUGUAUUUAGUUCCUGCCUGUUUAGUUAGAUUUCGUCUGGUCUACUCGUUAUUCCCCGGUGUUCCUGUCUGUGUGAACCUUGCCUUGUCUUGCCCUGUCCUGAUGUCCUCAUUAAAGACUGUUAUUUUGAAGUUA